UGAGUACAAGAUGCUACGGCAUUGAAGCAGUCUAUGUCAUACUUCCAAGAAAAGCUUGCAAUGUCAUAAACAAAUAAUGCCUGUACCAUAACCGACACAGGUGGGUAGGUAGAGUAUACUAAGGGGCGCGAGAUAACUCUCUCUAAGGAACUCGGCAAAAUGACUCCGUAACUUCGGGAGAAGGAGUACCUUAUUUUAUAAGGUUGCAAUAACAAGGUCCAAGCAACUGUUUACCAAAAACACAGGUCUCCGCUAAGUCGUAAGACGAUGUAUGGGGGCUGACGCCUGCCCAGUGCCAGAAGGUUAAAGAAGUUGGUUAGCAUUAGCGAAGCUGAUAACUGAAGCCCUGGUGAACGGCGGCCGUAACAAUAACGGUCCUAAGGUAGCGAAAUUCCUUGUCGGGUAAGUUCCGACCCGCACGAAAGGCGUAAUGAUUUGGAUACUGUCUCGGAGAGGGGCUCGGUGAAAUAGACUUGUCUGUGAAGAUGCGGACUACCUGCACCUGGACAGAAAGACCCUAUGAAGCUUUACUGUAACUUGAGAUUGAAAUUGGACUUUAUUUGCGCAGUAUAGGUGGGAGACCUCGAAAGUAUUCUUGCGGGAAUAUUGGAGUCAUCAGUGAGAUACCACUCUUAUAAUGUUAGAUUUCUAACUUUGUAUCAUUAUCUGGUCAAAGAACAGUUUCAGGCGGGCAGUUUGACUGGGGCGGUCGCCUCCCAAAUGGUAACGGAGGCGCACAAAGGUUUCCUCUGAACGUGUAGAAAUCGUAUCUAGAGUGUAAAGGCAUAAGGAAGCUUGACUGUGAGACCUACAAGUCGAGCAGGGACGAAAGUCGGUCUUAGUGAUCUGACGGUGCUGAGUGGAAAGGCCGUCACUCAACGGAUAAAAGUUACUCUAAGGAUAACAAGCUGAUCUCCCCCAAGAGUUCACAUCGACGGGGAGGUUUGGCACCUCGAUGCCGGCUCGUCGCAUCCUGGGGCGGUAGUACGUCCCAAGGGUUGGGCUGUUCGCCCAUGAAAGCGGUACGCGAGCUGGGUUCAGAACGUCGUGAGACAGUUCGGUCCAUAUCCGGUGUAGGCGUUAGAAUAUUGAGAGGAGCCUUCUUUAGUACGAGAGGACCGAGAAGGACAUACCUCUGGUGUACCAGUUAUCGUGCCAACGGUAAACGCUGGGUAGCUAUGUAUGGAGAGGAUAACCGCUGAAAGCAUCUAAGUGGGAAGCCCACCUCAAGAUAAGUAUUCC
This 1242-nucleotide ribosomal RNA is filed under the name metagenome. RNAcentral describes it as "bacterial LSU rRNA". It matches the Rfam family "Bacterial large subunit ribosomal RNA", at positions 1564 to 2814 of the family's 2925-position model. The record is from RNAcentral.